Non-coding RNA from Sus scrofa (pig), 1138 nucleotides. Lineage: Eukaryota; Metazoa; Chordata; Mammalia; Artiodactyla; Suidae. The record is from RefSeq and is a predicted model, not a curated record.
UCCCCACGUCCUACUACAACCGGCAAGUGUUUCUGCGUUUUGUUCUUCCUCAAGACGUAUUACUUUUUGAAACUGCUUUAUUGGGGAAGAGUGAUUUACAGUGUCGCCCUAGCCUCGCGGGUUUACAGCAAAGUGAAUCAUACACCUACGUGGUCUUAGGACCUGUUGUCAGUGGUGCUCCCAAGCUCUGACCAGGAGACCCUCGUGUGUUCUGCUCGCUGAAAGUGGCAGAAAGCACCAAGUGCCCCCUAAGCCGGCUUGCAAGAAAAUGGCCUGAGAUAUCUACUCUCCUUUGCAGCCCUCCUACCCCCAACCGCACCCACUCAGAGCAGCUCCAGUCCAAUUGGUCUGUGACAGAAAAAGAGGCUCCCAAAGGGGCAGAAGGGGACUCCUGUUGCAGCCCCUCCUCCAGCUUCAGAAAGUCAAGAACAUUUUGGUUCCAGAGGCAAGAACCCCAACGAAAAUUCGCUGAUGCGGAAAAGGGGAAAGGGAACAUGCACAUAACAGAGAGGUCCAAUAUGCGUGGAUUUAAUGGCUCCGUGUUAUGAGAAGGCUUUAACGCCUCCGUCUUCCCAUGCGGCUGCCAGGAUGACUGCGUAUGAGCUCCGUAUGCCGUCCCCGCAUCUUCACGGCUCACUCAGAUAUGAAAUCUCUGGAAGACAGUGACCAGGGAGGCUCCAGUCAAUGCCAGCUGCUCAGCCGAUGCCUGGGAGUAAAGCUAAGUAUUAUGGUGGGCCCAGACCUAUACCAAGCUCGGUGGCCUGGGGUUUGGGCACCUAUGAUGGGGAGCUUUAAUGGGAUGCCACAUCUUGAAGUACUUUCCCCGGAGACAAGGAUGUGGGCAGGCUGCCCCCCAAAUCAACAUGUCCUAUGGUUUCAGCACUGACAAUCCCCCACGCUUUCACUUGUUGUUGUUGUUGCCGUUCUCUCUUGUAUUAUUUUGUUCCACUUUGGAUGGAGCCAGGAUUCUAAACCCUUCUCCUCAUGCGCCCUUCUUUCCUGGAACUUGUUUAACUCAAAAUGUUCUGUCUUUCAGAUCCUAUCUACAAGUUCCCUAUGAGCAAGGAUGCAAUUCAUCUGCUUCUGGGAACUUGAGCGUGCUUGAAAUUACAGGAGGUCUCCUACUUCCCGAUUGGGA